Parelaphostrongylus tenuis is the source of this 72-nucleotide non-coding RNA. NCBI's taxonomy places the organism in Eukaryota, Metazoa, Nematoda, Chromadorea, Rhabditida, Metastrongylidae. The record is from the annotation of a GenBank genome assembly.
GCGUCGGUCAUGCAAUGGUUAGCAUACGCUCCCGGAAAGAGUGAGAUCUGGGUUUGAAUCUCAGCUGACGCA